AUACGUAGGGUGCAAGCGUUAUCCGGAAUUAUUGGGCGUAAAGGGCUCGUAGGCGGUUCGUCGCGUCCGGUGUGAAAGUCCAUCGCUUAACGGUGGAUCCGCGCCGGGUACGGGCGGGCUUGAGUGCGGUAGGGGAGACUGGAAUUCCCGGUGUAACGGUGGAAUGUGUAGAUAUCGGGAAGAACACCAAUGGCGAAGGCAGGUCUCUGGGCCGUUACUGACGCUGAGGAGCGAAAGCGUGGGGAGCGAACAGGAUUAGAUACCCUGGUAGUCCACGCCGUAAACGGUGGAUGCUGGAUGUGGGGCCCGUUCCACGGGUUCCGUGUCGGAGCUAACGCGUUAAGCAUCCCGCCUGGGGAGUACGGCCGCAAGGCUAAAACUCAAAGAAAUUGACGGGGCCCGCACAAGCGGCGGAGCAUGCGGAUUAAUUCGAUGCAACGCGAAGAACCUUACCUGGGCUUGACAUGUUCCCGACGGUCGUAGAGAUACGGCUUCCCUUCGGGGCGGGUUCACAGGUGGUGCAUGGUCGUCGUCAGCUCGUGUCGUGAGAUGUUGGGUUAAGUCCCGCAACGAGCGCAACCCUCGCCCCGUGUUGCCAGCGGAUUAUGCCGGGAACUCACGGGGGACCGCCGGGGUUAACUCGGAGGAAGGUGGGGAUGACGUCAGAUCAUCAUGCCCCUUACGUCCAGGGCUUCACGCAUGCUACAAUGGCCGGUACAACGGGAUGCGACGCGGCGACGCGGAGCGGAUCCCUGAAAACCGGUCUCAGUUCGGAUCGCAGUCUGCAACUCGACUGCGUGAAGGCGGAGUCGCUAGUAAUCGCGAAUCAGCAACGUCGCGGUGAAUGCGUUCCCGGGCCUUGUACACACCGCCCGUCAAGUCAUGAAAGUGGGCAGCACCCGAAGCCGGUGGCCUAACCCCUUGUGGGAUGGAGCCGUCUGAGGUGAGGCUCGUGAUUGGGACU
This 964-nucleotide ribosomal RNA is filed under the name uncultured bacterium. RNAcentral's name for it is "bacterial SSU rRNA". It matches the Rfam family "Bacterial small subunit ribosomal RNA", at positions 523 to 1482 of the family's 1533-position model. The record is from RNAcentral.